UACGUAGGGGGCAAGCGUUAUCCGGAUUCACUGGGUGUAAAGGGAGCGUAGACGGCCAUGCAAGCCUGGAGUGAAAGCCCGGGGCCCAACCCCGGGACUGCUCUGGGAACUGUGCGGCUGGAGUGCGGGAGGGGCAGGCGGAAUUCCUGGUGUAGCGGUGUAAUGCGUAGAUAUCAGGAGGAACACCGGCGGCGAAGGCGGCCUGCUGGACCGCGACUGACGUUGAGGCUCGAAAGCGUGGGGAGCAAACAGG
Molecule: ribosomal RNA, 253 nt
Filed under: uncultured bacterium
Lineage: Bacteria
Description: partial 16S ribosomal RNA
Rfam family: Bacterial small subunit ribosomal RNA
Source: RNAcentral